ACGCACGCUGGCGGCGUGCUUCACACAUGCCAGUCGAACGGAAAGGCCCCUUUGGGGGUACUCGAGUGGCGAACGGGUGAGUAACACGUGAGUAACCUGCCCUUGACUUCGGGAUAACUUCAGGAAACUGGGGCUAAUACCGGAUAGGAAUCCUUGCUGCAUGGUGGGGGUUGGAAAGCUUCGGCGGUUUUGGAUGGACUCGCGGCUUAUCAGCUUGUUGGUGGGGUAGUGGCUUACCAAGGCUUUGACGGGUAGCCGGCCUGAGAGGGCGACCGGCCACAUUGGGACUGAGAUACGGCCCAGACUCCUACGGGAGGCAGCAGUGGGGAAUAUUGCACAAUGGGCGGAAGCCUGAUGCAGCAACGCCGCGUGCGGGAUGACGGCCUUCGGGUUGUAAACCGCUUUCAGCAGGGGCGAAGCUUGUGGUGACGGUACCUGCAGAAGAAGCACCGGCUAACUACGUG
Molecule: ribosomal RNA, 464 nt
Filed under: uncultured bacterium
Lineage: Bacteria
Description: partial 16S ribosomal RNA
Rfam family: Bacterial small subunit ribosomal RNA
Source: RNAcentral